This 210-nucleotide unclassified non-coding RNA is filed under the name air metagenome. RNAcentral describes it as "partial contains small subunit ribosomal RNA, internal transcribed spacer 1, and 5.8S ribosomal RNA". The stretch from base 1 to 46 matches the Rfam family "Eukaryotic small subunit ribosomal RNA", at positions 1786 to 1831 of the family's 1831-position model. The record is from RNAcentral.
AAGUCAUAACAAGGUUUCCGUAGGUGAACCUGCGGAAGGAUCAUUAAUAAUGCCCUUUGACUUCGGUCUAUUGGGUUCAAUGUGUGCCUUCUCUUCGGAGUUGGCCAUCCAAACACACCGUGAACUGUGGCUUCGGCCAUCACAAACUAUUAGUAAUGAAUGUAAUAUCAUAACAAAAUAAAACUUUUAACAACGGAUCUCUUGGCUCUC